This 482-nucleotide ribosomal RNA is filed under the name uncultured bacterium. RNAcentral describes it as "bacterial SSU rRNA". It matches the Rfam family "Bacterial small subunit ribosomal RNA", at positions 917 to 1382 of the family's 1533-position model. The record is from RNAcentral.
GGACCCGCACAAGCAGCGAGGCAUGUGGUUUAAUUCGAUGCUACACGAAGAACCUUACCUGGGCUUGACAUACAUGUGAAAGCUCGAAGAAACUCGAGCCCUCAUGAGGGUUAAACCUCAUGACACAUGCACAGGUGCUGCAUGGUUGUCGUCAGCUCGUGUCGUGAGAUGUACGGUUAAGUCCGUGAACGAGCGCAACCCUUGCUCUUAGUUGCUAAUAGGCUUCGGCCUAUGCACUCUAAGAGGACUGCCAGCGAUAAGCUGGAGGAAGGUGGGGAUGACGUCAAAUCCUCAUGGCCCUUAUGCCCAGGGCCACACACAUGCGACAAUGGUCAAGACAAUGCGUUGCAAGCCAGCGAUGGUUAGCUAAUCGCAUAAAAUUGACCUCAGUACGGAUUGAGGGUUGCAAUUCACCCUCAUGAAGCUGGAGUUGCUAGUAACCGCCGGUCAGCUAUACGGCGAUGAAUACGUUCCCGGGUCUU